RNAcentral lists this ribosomal RNA (354 nucleotides) under uncultured bacterium. RNAcentral describes it as "partial 16S ribosomal RNA". It matches the Rfam family "Bacterial small subunit ribosomal RNA", at positions 338 to 709 of the family's 1533-position model. The record is from RNAcentral.
CCUACGGGAGGCAGCAGUGGGGAAUGUUGCACAAUGGGGGAAACCCUUAUCCAGCGACGCCGCGUGAGGGAAGAAGGUUUUCGGAUUGUAAACCUCUGUCAGUGGGGACGAUAAUGACGGUACCCACGGAGGAAGCCACGGCUAACUACGUGCCAGCAGCCGCGGUAAUACGUAGGUGGCAAGCGUUGUCCGGAAUUACUGGUGGUAAAGGGAGCGUAGGCGGGAUGUCAAGUCAGAUGUGAAAAUUAUGGGCUCAACUCAUAAGCUGCUUUGGAAACUGAUCUUCUUGAGGGAAGUAGAGGCAAGGGGAAUUCCUAGUGUAGCGGUGAAAUGCGUAGAGAUUAGGAGGAACAC